GACGAACGCUGGCGGCGCGCUUAACACAUGCAAGUCGAACGGAAAAGCCCUGCCUUUGUCGUGUGCGCGAGUGGCGAACGGGUGUGUAACACGUGAGUAACCUGCCCCGUACGUUGGGAUAACUUCAGGAAACUGGAGCUAAUACCGGAUGGGAGCACCAGCUGCAUGGAGGGGGUUGGAAAGUGUCGGCGGGUGGGGAUGGACUCGCGGCUUAUCAGAUUGUUGGUGGGGUAGUGUAUUACCAAGGCUUUGACGGGUAGCGGGCCUGAGAGGGUGACCGGCCACAUUGGGACUGAGCUAAGGACCAGACUCAUCCGGGAGGCGACGGUGGAGAAUGUUGUACAAUGGGAGGAAGGCAAAUGCAGCACAGCCGCGUGGGGUAAACCGGCCUUCGGGUUGAGAAGCGAAUUCGCCUGAUAUGAAGCGUGAGUGACGGUAAUGGGUAAAGAAGCCCCGGCUAACUACGUG
RNAcentral lists this ribosomal RNA (468 nucleotides) under uncultured bacterium. RNAcentral's name for it is "partial 16S ribosomal RNA". It matches the Rfam family "Bacterial small subunit ribosomal RNA", at positions 28 to 507 of the family's 1533-position model. The record is from RNAcentral.